RNAcentral lists this ribosomal RNA (497 nucleotides) under uncultured bacterium. RNAcentral's name for it is "partial 16S ribosomal RNA". It matches the Rfam family "Bacterial small subunit ribosomal RNA", at positions 28 to 507 of the family's 1533-position model. The record is from RNAcentral.
GAUGAACGCUGGCGGCGUGGCUAAUACAUGCCAGUCGAGCGAACAGACGAGGAGCUUGCUCCUCUGACGUUAGCGGCGGACGGGUGAGUAACACGUGGAUAACCUACCUAUAAGACUGGGAUAACUUCGGGAAACCGGAGCUAAUACCGGAUAAUAUAUUGAACCGCAUGGUUCAAUAGUGAAAGACGGUUUUGCUGUCACUUAUAGAUGGAUCCGCGCCGCAUUAGCUAGUUGGUAAGGUAACGGCUUACCAAGGCAACGAUGCGUAGCCGACCUGAGAGGGUGAUCGGCCACACUGGAACUGAGACACGGUCCAGACUCCUACGGGAGGCAGCAGUAGGGAAUCUUCCGCAAUGGGCGAAAGCCUGACGGAGCAACGCCGCGUGAGUGAUGAAGGUCUUCGGAUCGUAAAACUCUGUUAUUAGGGAAGAACAAAUGUGUAAGUAACUAUGCACGUCUUGACGGUACCUAAUCAGAAAGCCACGGCUAACUACGUG